GCGCCUGUAGCUCAAUUGGAUAGAGCAUCUGACUACGGAUCAGAAGGUUAUGGGUUCGACUCCUGUCAGGCGCGCCA
RNAcentral lists this transfer RNA (77 nucleotides) under Bacillus sp. (in: firmicutes). RNAcentral's name for it is "Bacillus sp. (in: Bacteria) tRNA-Arg". It matches the Rfam family "tRNA". From Rfam's summary of the family: Transfer RNA (tRNA) molecules are approximately 80 nucleotides in length. Their secondary structure includes four short double-helical elements and three loops (D, anti-codon, and T loops). Further hydrogen bonds mediate the characteristic L-shaped molecular structure. tRNAs have two regions of fundamental functional importance: the anti-codon, which is responsible for specific mRNA codon recognition, and the 3' end, to which the tRNAs corresponding amino acid is attached (by aminoacyl-tRNA synthetases). tRNAs cope with the degeneracy of the genetic code in two manners: having more than one tRNA (with a specific anti-codon) for a particular amino acid; and 'wobble' base-pairing, i.e. permitting non-standard base-pairing at the 3rd anti-codon position. The record is from RNAcentral. Lineage: Bacteria; Bacillati; Bacillota; Bacilli; Caryophanales; Bacillaceae.